UACGGGGGGGGCAAGCGUUGUUCGGAAUUACUGGGCGUAAAGGGCUCGUAGGCGGCCAACUAAGUCAGACGUGAAAUCCCUCGGCUUAACCGGGGAACUGCGUCUGAUACUGGAUGGCUUGAGUGUGGGAGAGGGAUGCGGAAUUCCAGGUGUAGCGGUGAAAUGCGUAGAUAUCGGAAGGAACGCCGGUGGCGAAAGCGAGUCGCUGGAUCUCUUCUGACGCUGAUGCGCGAAAGCCAGGGGAGCAAACGGG
RNAcentral lists this ribosomal RNA (253 nucleotides) under uncultured bacterium. RNAcentral's name for it is "partial 16S ribosomal RNA". It matches the Rfam family "Bacterial small subunit ribosomal RNA", at positions 524 to 776 of the family's 1533-position model. The record is from RNAcentral.